GUUAAGAUGGCAGAGCCCGGUAAUUGCAUUAAACUUAAAUCUUUACAAUCAGAGGUUCAACUCCUCUUCUUAACACA
This 77-nucleotide transfer RNA is filed under the name Bradypus tridactylus (Pale-throated sloth). RNAcentral describes it as "tRNA-Leu". It matches the Rfam family "tRNA". Rfam says of the family: Transfer RNA (tRNA) molecules are approximately 80 nucleotides in length. Their secondary structure includes four short double-helical elements and three loops (D, anti-codon, and T loops). Further hydrogen bonds mediate the characteristic L-shaped molecular structure. tRNAs have two regions of fundamental functional importance: the anti-codon, which is responsible for specific mRNA codon recognition, and the 3' end, to which the tRNAs corresponding amino acid is attached (by aminoacyl-tRNA synthetases). tRNAs cope with the degeneracy of the genetic code in two manners: having more than one tRNA (with a specific anti-codon) for a particular amino acid; and 'wobble' base-pairing, i.e. permitting non-standard base-pairing at the 3rd anti-codon position. The record is from RNAcentral. Lineage: Eukaryota; Metazoa; Chordata; Mammalia; Pilosa; Bradypodidae.